RNAcentral lists this ribosomal RNA (253 nucleotides) under uncultured bacterium. Its description in RNAcentral is "partial 16S ribosomal RNA". It matches the Rfam family "Bacterial small subunit ribosomal RNA", at positions 524 to 776 of the family's 1533-position model. The record is from RNAcentral.
UACGUAGGGGGCAAGCGUUAUCCGGAUUUACUGGGUGUAAAGGGAGCGUAGACGGCACUGCAAGUCUGGAGUGAAAGCCCGAGGCCCAACCACGGGACUGCUCUGGAAACUGCGGGGCUGGAGUGCAGGGGGGGUAAGCGGAAUUCCUAGUGUAGCGGUGAAAUGCGUAGAUAUUAGGAGGAACACCGGUGGCGAAGGCGGCUUACUGGACUGUAACUGACGUUGAGGCUCGAAGGCGUGGGGAGCAAACAGG